GGAUGUGAGGGCGAUCUGGCUGCGACAUCUGUCACCCCAUUGAUCGCUAGGAUUGAUUCGGCUGAUCUGGCUGGCUAGGCGGGUGUCCCCUUCCUCCCUCACCGCUCCAUGUGCAUCGCUCUCGAAGCUGCGUGCUUGGUCCAAGAGGACGACCUUCCCGUAAUACAGGAGGACCGGUCUUCAGUCAAGGGUAUACCAGUAGCUGCGCUUCCCUGCUAGAAACUCCAAACAAGCUCUCAAGGAAUCACCAUAUCUGCCUUGUGUGUGUGUGUGUGUGUGUGUGUGUGUGUGUGUGUGUGUCCUGUGCACGUGCUUCUGGAGACAAGUAUUACUACGUAGUCUAGCUCUCACU
Molecule: small nuclear RNA, 352 nt
Filed under: Cricetulus griseus (Chinese hamster)
Lineage: Eukaryota; Metazoa; Chordata; Mammalia; Rodentia; Cricetidae
Description: 7SK RNA (ENSCGRG00001001571.1)
Rfam family: 7SK RNA
About the family: 7SK was discovered as an abundant small nuclear RNA in the mid-70s but a possible function has only recently been suggested. Two independent studies have found that 7SK RNA binds the CDK9/cyclin T complex (known as elongation factor P-TEFb). P-TEFb activates transcription by phosphorylating the C-terminal domain of RNA polymerase II.
Source: RNAcentral